AAUUCCCCUGACUGUUGUGACACUAUGUUUCUUUCAUGCGAGGUAACCAGAUCAUCACACUUCCUUUUGAGGAAACUGACUUUAAUGUGGAGUACUAAGAUAUUAUGAGUUUUGUUGUAUCACAUUUAGGUGGGAUUAUGUUUAUAUGUGAAGAAAGAGCCAACUGUUGUUGAAAAUUUUAUCAUGGACAACAUAGGCUACUGCGAUUACAUAAACAAUUUUCCAACAUUUUCACACCAAAGUGUUGCUGUAGCAACCAGAUUGUUGGUCGCUACAACUAAUGUACAUACCAGAUUGGAGUACUGUUAGGUAUAUAGGUGUCAUAUAUGUGUUUGUAUUGUAUUUCUUGUACCCCAAGCAUAUGCGGCCUAUAUAAUGAAAUGUCACCCCCCCUCCUAGGGUUUGUGGUGUUUUCCUAAUUCUCUACAUGGUAUCACGAGUCUGGGCCUCCCUCCCGGCCCUACCGUGCGCCCACCCCCUUCCGCUGCCCUAGCCGCCGAUCAUGGAUCCCCCCAUCGGCACCACUCCUCCACCUCCAUGCGCCCUACCCUAGGGCGCCUCCACACCACCUGCCGUCGCCUCUUCUUGUGCGUGGCACCCCCUAUGCACCACGCGCUCUUCAGAUUGCAUCUGCAAUCAUGUCCACCUUCUCCGCCACAUCCAUGGCGACUGGCGCCCCCACCAUGCCCUCCUCUUUGGAUCCAUCGGCCGGCGCCCUCGUCCUUCUCCCCUACUCCAUGAUGUGCCUCAAAUCUCACGUCCCCAUGACGUUGGAUCUCCCGAACUCCAACUACAACAAUUCGGGCUUCUUCAUCACAUCGAUGGCUUCGUUCCUCCUUGCCGCAAUGAUCCCUCUUGGGAACAAGUGGACUGCUGUGUGCGCAUGUGGCUCUACGGCUCCAUCUCCGAAUCUGUUCUUGACUUCACCAUGGCCGAAGAUUAGACGGCGCGACAACUUUGGGUGGCCAUCACCAAGUUCCAGCCCAACCAAGCGCCCCGUGCUAUCUUCCUGAGCGAAGAUUUUCACUCCAUGACUCAGGGUGAUCUCUCUAUCAUGGAGUUUGGCAAGAAGAUGAAGAUGGCCGCCGAUGCACUACGAGACGUCGGCCACCCCGUGAUCGAGGCUACCCUAGUGCUGAAUCUGCUGCGCGAUAUGCAUCCCAAGUUCAGCAACACAAAGGACAUCGUCGCCGGCACCAAGAACAUCAGCUUCGACGAAGCCCUUGAUCAGUUCACCCUCAAGGAGCUCCUUCGCCUGGCAAACUAGGCGAAGAUCCUUUCCUCCACGGCGUUGGUGGCCUCCACCACGAGCUGCGGAUCGUCAUGCCGCUCCUCUUCGGCUGCGCCGCCACAACAGCAGCCACCGCAGCAGCAGCAGCGCGGCGCAGGAAGAAGGGCGGCAACGGCGGCAGUGGUGGCCCCUAGUAGCAGCAGCAACUGCGCGAGCCUACUCCCACUGGCCUAUGGUUCUGCUUCUCCCCGUGGGGAUCAUCUGGCGGCCAGGGCGGGCCCUUGACAAGCGGAGGCGGCCCCUGGACUGGCACUUCGGGCGGGAACACGGCAUGGCGCGGUCAGGGCCUGCAAGGACCAGCUCCACAGCAGGCCUACACCGCGUUCGCCCCACUGUAGGACUCCACGCCGCCUCAACAGCAGUACCAGCAGCAGCCCGCACAUACAUGGGACCAGGCGGGUCUCAUUGCGGAGUUGCAACAGAUGCAGCUGCAGGGCUCCUCUUCAUGGGUGAUGGACUCGGGCGCCUCCAGUCACAUGCACUCCUCGGAUGUUAUACUUCUCUCUCGCUCACCUGCUUCGCAUGUUUCUAUGUCAGUAGGCAAUAGUUCACAUAUUCCCGUUACGUCUCGAGGUCAUUCCAUCUUACCACUCCUGCAUCAAACUUUGCCCUUAAUAAUGCUCUCAUUGUUCCUUCUAUCGUCUGCAAUCUUCUGUCUAUUCGUCAAUUCACUCGUGACAACAACUGCUUGAUAGAAUUUGAUGCCCUUGGUUUCUCUGUGAAGGACCUUAGGACGAAGCGCGUGAUUCUUCGUUGCAAUAGUGAUGGCGACCUCUACACCAUAUCUGCUGCCACUCCUAGCACCGCCCAGGCCCUUCUUGGCUUCUAUCUUCAUCGUCUUCUUUGUGGUACCAGCGUCUUGGUCACCUGGGUCCAACCACCAUUGCCAGCCUCGGAAACAGUCAUUCCAUAGCUUGUAAUAAACUAGGCCGCACAAUUUGUCACGCAUGUCAGCUUGGCAAACAUGCUCGUCUACCUUUCCCUACUUCUACUUCACAUACUGUUUCUCCUUUUGAGAUUAUUCAUUGUGAUGUUUGGACAUCUUCGGUUCCUAGCAUUUCAAGCUACUCAUAUUAUUUGGUUAUGCUGGAUGAUUCUUCUCAGUUUUGCUGGACUUUCCCUCUUCAUCGAAAGUCUGAUGUGCACGGUCACAUGGACAUGGUUGAUUUCAUUGCUUACGCUAGCGCAUAGAUUGGCCUUCCUAUCAAAUGCUUUCAGGCUAAUAAUGGCACUGAGUUCGUCAACAAGUCCACCAUAUCGCACCUGGUGGCUAAUGGGAUCUUGUUUCGACUUUCCUGUCCAUAUACCUCACCCCAAAACGGCAAGGCCGAGCGUGUUCUUCGUACCCUCAACAACUCCGUGCGCGCACUCCUCAUCCAUGCAUCCAUGCCGCCUCCAUACUGGGUCGAGGCCCUUGCUGUAGCCACACAUUUGCUAAACUGUCGCCCUUCGUCUUCUAUCAAUGAUGAAGUCCCGUAACGCACCUCCACUGUACUCCUAGUUACAAUCACCUCCGUGUCUUUGGAUGCCUUUGCUACCCCAACCUUCAGGCUACCUCCCCACACAAACUCACUCCUCGCUCAACCGCAUCUGUGUUUAUGGGAUACCCCUCCUCUCACAAGGGAUAUCGCUGCCUUGAUCUUUCUACAAGGCGCAUCAUCAUCUCCCGACGCGUCGUCUUUGAUGAGUUCUCUUUUCCCUUUGCUUGGGAUACGCCUGGUCCACAGUCCUCCUUGGAUUUCCUCCUCGAUGACGCUUCGGAUGUUGUGCAUUGUCCUACUAACCAUGCAGCAGGUUCGACGUGUUUGAGUUCUGUCCCUACAGCGGCAGCUCCAUCCUCCAUGGAUGUUGAGCAAUUGCUCCCUGCUACCAAUCCGGGCAUAAGUGGUCUCGUGCCCUUGCCAGGACCUGCUCCGCCCUCUUCAGCAGCUGCUACACCAGCACCUGCACGAGCUGUUACAGCAGCAUCUGCGUCUGCUCCCGUUGUUGCAGCAGCACCGGCGUCUGCUGCUGCGGUUGUGACAGCACCUGCUGCUCCACCUGGUUACUUCGACCGUGCCUACAUCCGCCGCUGUAAUGGGCCUCUUCCAGUGCGGCGAUUCCCUGCGCCAACACAGGUGGGGGUGCUGCAGCCACCCGUGCGGGCCUUCUCCGCCUCCCAUAUUGAGGCGGAUCACUCGUCUUCAGACUGGUACCAUUAAGCCUGUCAACUAUCCGAAUCAGUUGAUCAUAUUGUUGCUUCUCCUGUUCUGGCCAAUUAUCGCCGUGCACUUGCUGAUCCAAACUGGAGAGCAGCUAUGGUAGAUGAAUUCCAGGCUAUGGUAGACAAUGGUACUUGGCAUCUCGUUCCUCGCCCUCAUGGUGCGAAUGUUGUGACAGAAAAGUGGAUUUUCAAGCAUAAAUUUCACUCUGAUGGUUCUCUUUCUCGUCACAAGGCUCGUUGGGUUGUUUGGGGAUUUUUUUAGGGCGUUGUUCGGGAUUCUCUUAGCAGCAUGGCAUUGACUACGAUGAGACUUUCAGUAUAGUCAUCAAACCUGGUACCAUCCGGACGGUUCUGAGUACUGCAGAUUCUCGCUAAUGGCCGAUUCAUCAGCUUGAUGUGAAGAAUGAUUUUCUUCAUGGCCAUCUCGACGAGACAAUCUAUUGCUAGCAACCUUCAGGUUUUGUUGAUCCAACCUUCCCUGAUCAUGUCUGUCUCCUGCAGAAGUCGCUCUAUAGCCUGAAGUAGGUACCUCCCUGUUUGUCUACAAGGAUGGCGCCAAUAUUGACUAUCUGUUGUUAUAUGGACGACAUUGUUCUGACUGCUUCAUCGUCUGCUAUGCUUCAUGACAUCAUUGGUUCUUCAGAUGGGUUGUUCUUGUCUCAGCGACAGUAUGCCUUGGACCUUGGUAUGCCCUAGAAGGAUCAUUGGUUCAGUGCGCAGGUAUGAUUGAGUGCCACUCUACGACGACGCCUGUGGAUACCAACGCCAAGCUGUUAGCCACAGAUGGAGCACCGGUUGUUGAUCCUUCUAAGUAUAGAAGUUUGGCUGGUGCCCUUUAGUAUCUCACCCUAACUCGUCCUGAUCUUGCAUAUGCUGUUCAGCAAGUCUGUUUAUUCAUGCAAGAUCCACGCGAUCCCCAUCUUGCGCUUGUCAAGCGCAUCCUGUGGUAUGUGAAAGGCACACUCUCGUCCGGCUUCACAUUGGCACUGGACCUGUCGACACCCUUAUAGCUUACAUAGUGCAGAUUGGGCUAGCUGUCCUGAUUCUAGGCGUUCUACUUCGGGCUACUGUGUUUUUCUUGGUGAUACUCUGUUUCUUGGUCGUCCAAGAGGCAGACUACAGUUUCUCGUUCUAGUGCUGAGGCGGAAUACAGAGCAGUGGCUCAUGUUGUGGAUGUGUGGCCGAGUGUUGCUGGUUGCGACAACUUCCCCAGGAGCAUCACAUCACUUUCUCGAAGGCUACGCUUGUCUAUUGUGACAACAUCAGUGUUGUCUAUAUGACUUCGUGCGGCUUUGGGGCAAGUUCGUGUUCUACAUGUGCCUUCCUUCGCAUCAGUUUGCUGAUAUAAUGACUAAGGGUCUUCAUGUACAUUACUGAUUUUAGAUCCAGUCUUGGUGUCUGACAGGCUCCCCCCUGCGACUGCGGGUGGGUGUUAGAUAUAUAGGUGUUGUAUAUGUGCUUGUAUUGUAUUUCUUGUACCCCAGGCCUAUACGGUCUA
Molecule: long non-coding RNA, 4992 nt
Organism: Panicum virgatum (switchgrass)
Lineage: Eukaryota; Viridiplantae; Streptophyta; Magnoliopsida; Poales; Poaceae
Exons: 2
Source: RefSeq, a predicted model, not a curated record